Molecule: ribosomal RNA, 395 nt
Filed under: uncultured bacterium
Lineage: Bacteria
Description: bacterial SSU rRNA
Rfam family: Bacterial small subunit ribosomal RNA
Source: RNAcentral
GUGUCAGCAGCCGCGGUAAUACAGAGGUCCCGAGCGUUGUUCGGAUUUAUUGGGCGUAAAGGGUGCGUAGGCGGCGGAGUAAGUUGGGUGUGAAAUCCCGGGGCUCAACCUCGGAAUUGCAUUCAAUACUGCUUCGCUCGAGUACUGGAGAGGAGGCUGGAAUUUACGGUGUAGCAGUGAAAUGCGUAGAUAUCGUAAGGAAGGCCGGUGGCGAAAGCGAGCCUCUGGACAGUUACUGACGCUGAUGCACGAAGGCCAGGGGAGCAAACGGGAUUAGAUACCCCGGUAGUCCUGGCAGUAAACGGUGCGCGUUUGGUGUGGGGGGAUUCGACAAUCUCCGCGCCGGAGCUAACGCGUUAAACGCGCCGCCUGGGAAAUACGGUCGCAAGAUUAAA